GCGGAGGGCCGGAUGGCCGCGGGGGUGCAAACCCACGAGGAAAGUCCGGACUCCACAAGACGACGGUGCCGGGUAACGCCCGGGCAGGGAAACCUGACGGAAAGCGCCACAGAAAUGAAACUACCCCGGCCUGUCCGGGGAAAAGGUGAAACGGUGGGGUAAGAGCCCACCGGGGGGCUGGCAACAGCCCCCGCACGGCAAGCCCCACCGGGAGCAAUGCCGAAUAGGGUCCCCGCGCGGGCUGAUCGGGCAACCGAUAUCGCCGCAGGGCAAGUCCUGGCCCAGGGGAUCGGGUAGGCAGCUGGAGGGGCACCGGCAACGGUGCCCUUAGAUGAAUGGCCAUCCAGAGGGGGCGACCCCUUGGACAGAAUCCGGCUUACAGGCCCUCCGCGCAU
RNAcentral lists this RNase P RNA (395 nucleotides) under Lutimaribacter pacificus. Its description in RNAcentral is "Bacterial RNase P class A". It matches the Rfam family "Bacterial RNase P class A". Rfam says of the family: Ribonuclease P (RNase P) is a ubiquitous endoribonuclease, found in archaea, bacteria and eukarya as well as chloroplasts and mitochondria. Its best characterised activity is the generation of mature 5'-ends of tRNAs by cleaving the 5'-leader elements of precursor-tRNAs. The record is from RNAcentral. Lineage: Bacteria; Pseudomonadati; Pseudomonadota; Alphaproteobacteria; Rhodobacterales; Roseobacteraceae.